This is a long non-coding RNA of Neopsephotus bourkii (Bourke's parrot), 3314 nucleotides long. RefSeq lists it as uncharacterized. The record is from RefSeq and is a predicted model, not a curated record. The transcript is spliced from 2 exons. Lineage: Eukaryota; Metazoa; Chordata; Aves; Psittaciformes; Psittacidae.
GCACAGCUUUCAAGGUAGAUUUCAUUCUGUCCAUUUAAGAAAUGAAUGUGCCUUUAAAAGUUUCCAGUAAAGAGCUAUCUCAGAGCAAACAUGAUCCAGCCCAGAACUGCUGUUUCAGCAUUAUCCGAAUGCUCAAGGUCACUGCAGUUUGCUUCUUUUUCAGCACUGGAGUGGCAUUUUGCCAUCAGCAUUUCCAUGAAAUGGGUCAUUUUUGAUGAAUUCUCAGGUUUGGAUGGCAAGGAAGGAGGAGCACUGGAUGGUUUCCAAGCAGUUCCAUUACAGAUGCCAGUGUUUUGCAUGGGGCCUCCCUCACCCUGCUUUAUUGAUCACCAAGACACGACCUCAAAGGGUUGAGUCUGCCCAGUGAUGGUGUCUGGAUGAGCAUCCCCAUGCUGCCUCUGUGGGCAUCUCCACUGUAGCUCCCCUAGGUCAAGAAGAAAUACCCUCUUUAAGAGGGGCAGGCAGAGCCAUGGCUCAGCUAAUAGGAAAGGAGGUUUCUAGAAGCGACUGGAGUUGGUGAGCCACACAUCACACUUCAGUCCCGCAAGCUGGCAGCGAACAAGUUAGUUCAGUGGCGGAAUGAGGCUUCCACCUCAUCCCAGGGCCAUCAGGGUCGUGCUGGAAGGUGAUGCAGGGAAGCAACUCUCAUAAGCUGCAGUGCAGGUCCUUCAGCUGAUGAAGACAAGGCUUCUCCAGCUCCAGUUCGUGCUGGAAAUCAGCCUUUCCCUUCCCUAACAUACGCUUGGGAUGCCUACUGGGACACAUGGCUGCCCGCUGGGGCUGAAACCGUGGCGAGAAUGUCCUGCUGACACAAGAGCUAAUGAAGUAUUUGCACUAUACUGUCCCUUUGUGCUAUUAUAUAUAUAUAAAUGUAUAUAUAUAAUGUAUGUAUAAUGUAGAUAUGUAUAAAAAGGAGGACACAAAUUGGAUAUAAACAUAUGUGUGUGUAUAUAUAUAUAUAUAUAAGCAUAACAAGAAAUUAUUUGCAAGUAAUUAUGAAUGAGGAACUUGCACACUGCCAUGGUCUCAGCAGGCACAGCUCCCCCCUUCUCCCUCCCAUCUUCCUGCGUCACUGUCUCUGUUAUCUAGCUAAAAAUAAAGGAGUGUUGGGCACCCAUGUGUCCCAUGGGUGACCGCAUGAUAAACAUCAAGCCUUGGUGCUAACAACCCAUAAACAGGGGUGGGGAGCAGCAGCCGGCUUCUCUCUGUGCAGUUGUUGCCUCAAGAGGUACCCAGGCUCCAGCCCUGCAGUGCGGCAAGGAGGUGGGGAAUGAGGAUGCUGCUCAUGGACCCCAAUCCCUCUCCUCCCAGUCUUUCCCUCAUCCAGAGCUAAGGCAGUUUUUAGCUUCAAGUGAGCCAUUAGAGGCUCUCUCAGCCCAGAGCAUCCUCAGAGGUUGUAAACCCUCCAGCCACAGGAUAAAAACCCAGCAGGGCUCUUUUUCCCAAUCCAGCCCUUUUCCAUGACCUCCCGAUGGGAUUAUGGCCUCCUCAUGCUCCACUGGUCUCUUCAAACACAUUGUCACACCAGGACUUACCCACCUGCAAUCACGCUUCGGUGCCCAUUCCCCCCCAGCAGUUACCAGGGACACGGAGCAGCCAGGCUGAACAGAAGUGCUGAUGCUGAGGUUUCACAAUGAGUUUGAGCCCCACCACCUCCUGCUUUGCUCUCAUUCAAUUGUACAGGGGGGUGGCACAGGUUAGGGUCCCAGAUGGGUUAUUUACCCUGCAGCUGAUGAGGGAUAAAUCACUGUGGGACUCUUUACAUCACGCCCUUAUGAUGGAAAGAGGAAGAUGGGCAGCAGCUGGGACAGGCUCAGUUUCAGCGCCACAAGCUGAAGGCAAAACUGGCGGGGGAUUAUCCUAAAUCAUCCCUAUCCCAUUCCCAAUUGGAGAUGCUCCAGGGCUGAUGGAAGCAUAGGUGGUGGGUUGGCUUUUUGAGGGGGAUCUUUUUUCCCUUCUGAGCAAUCAGGUGGUUUCUAAGGCUGGGCUGGGAAGAGCGUGGUCCACCCUGGGAGGAUGUGGUGGGCAAGAAACCAUUGCAAAGCUGCAGCAUUGCCAUUUCCCCUCCGGGCUGUGGACGUUUUAAACAGGCAGCAGAAACCAAAGGACGGGGAAAUUGCCAAAGAGUUGAAAGGGCCCCCUUGUUAGUGUAAGCAGCAAGGGAGGGGGCUUUCCAAGAGCUAUUUAAACAUUAACCAGCACAACAAUUGCCCUGUGUUCCUAUUCCCAAUCACCACAAUGGUCUUUCACCUCUGCAGGGUCCUGAGCUGCCUCCAGUCCUGGCGCAGUGCUGGGUCAGUGAGAGGAGCCUCUGUGCCACCUCCUUUCCCUGCAGGACUUCACGACCACCCCUUUGGGCUGCCAAGAGGUAUGGGAGCAGGGGACUAAAAUGGGUUAUGAACAUCCUUCUUGCAGCUAUAACUUGGAUGUGGCUGGAGGGUUUCAGAGCCUCAGCUCCUGAGAUCAAGACAGCAUCAAGCUGUGGAUGCUGAACCGAGGCACUGAGCUCUGAUGCAGGACCUGCAGCCAUCUCCCCCCAGCCAAGCACCAUUCAACCACUUUCCCCAUCAUCCUGAGGGCAUCUGAAGUGGUGUGAUGAGGUUUAGGCGGGAGCCGAUGGAACUGAGACCCAGCUUUGUGACCUGCUCUCUUUCCAGCAGCAAAGUACAGGUUUGAAAGCAAUGCUAGGUGGGAUCAGGAGCUUUGGGUGUAGUUUGUCUCUCCAGACACCAACUUCUGGGAAUGCUACAGCCCCAGCACUGAGGUAUCACAAGAAACUGUCUGAGCUGACAGUAGCCCACUCCAGAGGCAGAAUGUGGGUACCAUUGGGCUGGAGUGAUAAAGGACAAUGAAGAUGAUGAUAAUGAUGGUGAUGACGAUGAUGUGUGAGCUGAUGAAGAGCUGGGUGCAACGAUCUGUACAUUCCAUUCCCCAGUGCCUGCCCCUCAUGCUGCAGCAUCUUUGCAAGCCAUCAGAUGUCGUUAGUCAAGGCUGUCAUGGAGGGAGGAUGAGGGUAUCUUAAGGACCAUGGGAUUAUGUCUGGUCACCCACCAGCUGGGUGCAGCUCCAGCAUGAACACUUGGGAGAUUUACAGGCUUCAUAACUCACCUUCCACCAGUACUUUAAUGCAAUUGUUGUGGGGGUUUUUUGUAAGCAUUCCUCCUUUAAAUCUCACUCAAAGAUCUGAGGGAAGCAAACACAGGUUAAGCUGAAACAAACCGAAUGGUUUAUAGAGCAAAUAUUCCCAGGCUGGGCUCUCCAUAUUCCCAUGUCAUUGUAAUCAUCCUCAAUAAGAAUGUGCUUGUGCUGAAGUG